CAAAUAUUACAAUCGGAACAAGGAAGUUGCUGCUUCCUGAUUGUAUAGCGUCACAUUUUAACACCUGCGACAGCAAUAUUUCGUGAGCCCCAUCAUGGCAGAAGCUGAGGAGGAAGGAGCAACAAGUAAGGAGCAGCAGCAGCAGCUAAGCUCUUCUUCUCCCGGUGGACUUGAGGACGUUCAGCCGGCUGCCCCCACCGAGGGCACCGUGAAGCAGCAGCAGCAGCUCGGGUCUCCUCUUCCCGGCGGACCGGUGGACACUCAGCCGGCUGCUCCCACCGAGGGCACCGCAGAGCAGCAGCAGCUCGAGUCUCCUUCUCCCGGCGGACCAGAGGACACUCAGCCGGCUGCCCCCACCGAGGAGCAGCAACAGCAGCUCGGGUCUCCUUCUCCCGGCGUACCGGUGGACACUCAGCCGGCUGCCCCCACCGAGGGCACCGCAGAGCAACAGCAGCUCGAGUCUCCUUCUCCCGGCGUACCGGAGGACACUCAGCCGGCUGCCCCCACAGAGGGCACUGAGGAGCGGCCAGCGGAGGUGGCAGAGGCCCGCCCCCAGCGCAGUGACAUCUCGGUGGAGUCAUCUCUGGACCAGUUUAAGAUGAGACGGUUCUUCGUGUUGAGGCCUGGCACUCUGAAUCAGGCCAUCAAAGACGUUGAAGCUCUGGUGGAUAAAGAAGUAGAUGGCAGCGUUCACAGCAUUUGGCUGCUGACAGAGGUGGAUCACUGGAACAAUGAGAAAGAGCGUCUUGCAAUUAUCACAGACAACUCUCUCAUGGUUUUCAAGUACGAUUUUCUCAUGUUCAGAUGUGAGCAUAUCCAAAGGAUCCCACUGAACAUCAUCGACCGCAUCUCCCAUGGCAACUUCAGCUUCCCGCCACGCUCCCUGCUUCAGAGAGAGGGGGAGGGGGUGCGGAUCUUCUGGGACCGGCUCAGAGAGCCCUCCUUCACCUCCAGGUGGAACCCCUUCGCCUUGGACUUCCCCUUCAUCACCUUCACUCAUCACCCAGUGAGGAACACUAAUGGCACAUUUGCAGCUCUCUGUGACAUGCAGAAGUUUCGUGAGCAGCUCAAGGAUGCUGCACAGAAAGCCCACGCUAUAAAGCCGUUUCCAGGCAAGGCCAACGGCGUCCUGGUCCUGAAUCAGAACAUCCUCAUUGAGACUUACGUGGGCCUCAUGUCUUUCAUCGGGAACCAGAACAAACUGGGAUACUGCAUGGCUCGAGGAAACCUCGGCUUUUAACCGUUCAGCAUAUAUUUAAUAGUUUUAUUGUUUGCGUGUUUAUAAGUUUGUUGCUUUCAGAUUCAACCAGGUUUGACCGAAAAUUUGUUCCAUAUUCAGGUUUGCUUUUGUCACAGAGCAGCCUGGAUUCUCAGGAUGUUCUGUGUGAGCUUUAAACAACUGUGUGAUCUCCCCCACUGCUUAUUACCAGUGUGUGGUGUCUGAGUGCUCAGAAAUAUCCGCAUUUCAACACCGCUCUUCACUGGAUGACGGAUCCCCCGCUGCUCUCAAGGAGCUUUGUAUUUGCUCCUCAGUGAUAUGGUAAUUCAACUCUUUCGCAAUGGGACUCCUUUCUUCCUCCCCCGGUGUCUCUGUUAAAAGCUCAUUCCCAUGCCAUUCAGCCCCUUAGAGAUUCAGCGGAGCAUGGGGGCACAUUUGUCAGUUUAGUUUUAUCAUUCGCAGUGUAUUUUUACAGUGCAUACAGUGCUGGAAUUUCCCCUUGAUUCGUGUGUUUACUGUGUGUCGCUCUGCCUCGUUUGGCGUCACCUGUUUGUCUUGUGAGCGUAACACAGACAAGAAAGUAUAGGCUUACGUAUCUUGUUCUCUUCGUUUGUGGUGGUGUAAAAGAUGCAGAUUCUUCUGCACUGUCUUCAGCGCAUCAUGUCAUGACCCUUGUUCGUACUAAAUAAUAAUUUAUAUUUGCUGAAAGAUAAACAUUGUAGGUGACCAUGAAACUUCAGCAGUGCCAUGUCCAGAUGUUGGUGCAGUUACAUGUGCAGACACAUUAGGGAGGUACGACAGUAAACACUCAGGCAUGUGUUGUUUAGUUGCUCAUUGCCCUCUACCCUUUUUUUUUUUUUUUUUUGAAAGAAAUCAGUCCAGUUUGCUCAGGUUUGAAAGGGUUAAUGAUGCCAACCAUAAAUACUAUCAGAAACAAUUUAAAUUUAAUGAGGAUAUUAAGGAUUACAGCUUUAAAACUUCCAAAGUAAAAUUGUUUAUGGGUGAAUCACAGUUGUGUUUUCAAAUGAGUGACAAAUACAAAUGAAUGCCGACAGACUUCACCCGCAGUAUUUAGACUCUAAUUAGUUUUUCUCUUCAGGAAACAAGGUUAAGUAGCAAACGUCCCAGAAGGACAGAUGUUAUUCAAACCGGUAAAGUAUAUGGAUAAGUUCAGCACCUUUAGUAUCAUGUAUCAUAACCUUAGGGCCUGAAGGGGUUAACAUGUUUCCUCCCAGAGUGAGGACGUGUUUUUAAUCCGGGAUCAAGCACCGCUCUGGCCUGGAGCGAAGCACCUCAUCCAUAUUUCUGCUCUUCGAGUUGUAAAAGAUGUUGAGAAAACAGGAUUAAGAGCCAGAUAAAUGAGCAUUCAUAAAGUUGUAGCUUUUGGCUCUCAAGAAACGUCGAGUUUUACAUUCAGGUCACCUCGUGACUCAAAGCGGUGACAUUAGAAGAAUAUCUUAGCUUGUUUAUUUUGUUUGGUUUCCAUGGACCGCAUUUGUACCUGUAAUCAUUUUAUUCUCUAAUUGUCGCGACUUUAGCUGCAGGUGAAGCAGUUACCAAAAACAUUGAGCAGCAGCAUGACAAUAAAACACCGUUGUGUCACAAACCGCUUUAAAUAAUGACAGACUUCCUGACAUGUAAUGUUUGUGAUUACGUUGUUUGCAGUGAUGAGUUUUCGUGUUCGGUCAUGUUUGAAUUGAACUUUAAUGAAGCUCCGAUCUUUCCUCUUCUCUUGUUUUCUCUCGACCUUUAACAGUCAAGAGCAUCGCUGACGUCGAGAUGUGGUGCGACUUGCUGUAAAUGUCAGGAUAUAGAAGGAACGUGGCUCCGUGUGUGUGCAGAUGUGCGUGCAGGAGGCGGCAGGGAGUGUGGGUGUGCUGUUGUGUACGAUCUGUCCUCAGAUGCUCCUUUUCUUUGCAUUAAAGAUCAUUAAGUUCAGCCCUCAAGGUACUUUAAGAGAAUUAGAGCUCUGAAUUGCUCUCAACAUUGUACGCACAGUCUGUACUCAGAUGCUGGCGCUGCUGUUUAAUAUAUAGAACUAAUAAAUCAUUAACAGAUGUGCAGUGAUGAUCAGAGAUUUGAUGUUAUUAUUAUUAUAUUAUUUUUUUGUGGAUAACAAAACAUUUUGCCACAAAAUUUACGCUGUAAACAUUUUGAGCUAUUUCAUCUAAAAAAACUUUAAGACAUUCUGCUGCACGAACCCUUUGACACAUGUAUAGACAUCUGUUUUUUUGUGCUGCGGUCAGACGCCUUUCACAAACUAUUUGACCCUUUGAAACCUGAGGAAAGUUAUUUCUCAAAAACACGAGAGACAAAGUCAAUGACCCUCUGGACAACAAAUGUCCCACAAACUGCAUAAAUGAAGUAAAAGGCUUUAGAAAAUCUAGACGUCUCCAGCAGGAGAGCGGGCAGCAGAGAAGGAUCCCCAAUCAGCGUCUGCAGCAAACCAGCCGGUGCAAACCGCAGCUCUGCAGGACCCACAACCCUGCAAAAUUUCUUUUGCUGCCAUUACACAGAUUUCUGACGACCCACACUUUUUAUUUGGAGUCAUGUUCCUGGACGCCUGACGAAAGAUGCCCCCCCCCCCGAUAGACGCUGGCCAGACGGUCAGCAGCGGUGAGACUAAGCACUGAUGACAAGCUGCUGGAACGGCUGCAGAGGAGGAGAAUGAGCAGAGUCGGCAUAGAGAGCCUCAGACAACAGGUGGAGGAGACGGUGGACGGUGUGACACGUGGGCGACACGACUGCCGAGCCGUUUGAGACCAACAACAGAAGCAGGUAAUCUGUAGCGAGAAAUCGUCUAUGUUUCCAGCAGCGAUUGUGCCCCCAAAAUCAGCCUGCUCGAAGCCUCCUGAGCCGCGCUGAGAAGCGUGACGCAACCGACGCGCCUUCAACCCACAAAACCACAGGGGAAUCUGGGUGGAAAUAUCAUAACUGGCCAGAGAAACACAUGUCGGAGUCGGGUAGGGCAGCUGAUACACGUGCCUCUAUGACAGUUUGAAGAUUUUGGCAAAGUGAAGUUUGGCAUGACAACAUGAAUUCACCUUACGCAGCUGUGCAGUGUUACCCAGAGUUUCCCUUUCACCGACUCAGGGAUCCUUCGUCACGUUUGUCCUGGAGAGAGAGCUCAUUCCUCACCGCCAUGUCCCAGAAUCAGUCAGCACAGACUACUGACUUUUUCAGCCAAGAUGUAUUCAACCAACUGUUUGAUAUGCUGGACCAAUCUGCCAUUCAUUCAGUCCAGCCCAUAGAGCUGAACUUCAGAGACAGUCCGCCUGACGGGUCUGCAGGAAACACCAUUCAGAUCAGUAUGGACUGCAUCACCAUGCAUGAGCCAGAAGAGACGC
Molecule: non-coding RNA, 4566 nt
Organism: Plectropomus leopardus (leopard coralgrouper)
Lineage: Eukaryota; Metazoa; Chordata; Actinopteri; Perciformes; Serranidae
Source: RefSeq, a predicted model, not a curated record